GACGAAGAUGAAUAAUGCUUUAUUCUGACACCUCUUGUAUGAGAUGAAUCAAUUGAUUCAUCUUUGAGCACAUUAAGCAACUCUCUGAGUC
Small nucleolar RNA from Trifolium pratense (red clover), 91 nucleotides. RefSeq annotates it as small nucleolar RNA snoR1. The record is from RefSeq and is a predicted model, not a curated record. Lineage: Eukaryota; Viridiplantae; Streptophyta; Magnoliopsida; Fabales; Fabaceae. The transcript has a single exon.